This is a long non-coding RNA of Mytilus californianus (California mussel), 337 nucleotides long. RefSeq lists it as uncharacterized. The record is from RefSeq and is a predicted model, not a curated record. Lineage: Eukaryota; Metazoa; Mollusca; Bivalvia; Mytilida; Mytilidae. The transcript is spliced from 3 exons.
UUACUGAAAGCUAUUCCACAGCCAAUCACAAUUUAAUAGCUAAAAAAAAUCAUUUUGAACUUCCUGAUACUAAAUAUCGAGGAAGUAGAAUGAAUUACAUAACGCCUGUUCCAUCAUCUCCAUUUUUUGUAAAGCAUAUCUAUUUCCAAAAAUGUGAAUUUAAUAGCAGCAUACCCAGUCUAGAAUACAGUUGCAACUUCAUCAUGCAAUUAGCACUUACGAUAAUCUUCUUGGUGUUAGUAGUACUAGUAACAAACUCCGCUAGUUGGUGGACUGGCAGCAUAAAGCGUUACAAAUGCAAUGAUCCUUCUAUAGGAGAGCCAUACUAUUUUGGAAC